GAUCAUGGCUCAGGAUGAACGCUAGCUACAGGCUUAACACAUGCAAGUCGAGGGGUAGCAGGGUAGCAAUACCGCUGACGACCGGCGCACGGGUGAGUAACACGUAUCCAACCUUCCCAUAACUCAGGGAUAGCCUUUCGAAAGAAAGAUUAAUACCUGAUAGUACUUUUUCAAGGCAUCUUGAGAAAGUUAAAGAUUUAUUGGUUAUGGAUGGGGAUGCGUUCCAUUAGAUAGUUGGUGAGGUAACGGCUCACCAAGUCUUCGAUGGAUAGGGGUUCUGAGAGGAAGGUCCCCCACAUUGGUACUGAGACACGGACCAAACUCCUACGGGAGGCAGCAGUGAGGAAUAUUGGUCAAUGGGCGAGAGCCUGAACCAGCCAAGUAGCGUGAAGGAAUGAAGGUCCUAUGGAUUGUAAACUUCUUUUAUAGUAGAAUAAAGUGAUCCACGUGUGGAUUUUUGUAUGUAUACUAUGAAUAAGGAUCGACUAACUCCGUGCCAGCCGCCGC
RNAcentral lists this ribosomal RNA (507 nucleotides) under uncultured bacterium. RNAcentral describes it as "bacterial SSU rRNA". It matches the Rfam family "Bacterial small subunit ribosomal RNA", at positions 15 to 518 of the family's 1533-position model. The record is from RNAcentral.